CAGACACUUGCCCUGGAAUGGAACCAAAUUAUCACCAGGGAGGGAGAGAUUUUAUUCCCCUGGUAUGUCCUCAGGAAGAGAAAUGUUCUCUCUUUAUUACAAUAGAGGGAAAUAAAUCUCCCUCUAACUUUAAGUUAAAUGCUAUCUCUAGAUUUCAAAGAUGUUUGCCCUGCAAACCCUUUUGCUCAGAAGAUCUAGACCAUGCAAAAACAUGAUAUUCAUAAAGAAUUAUCUCCUAACAGGUUAUCCCAGGUUUCUUUUAGUUUUAUAUAUUUCAGUUUAUCUGUACUCACUGCUUCUGUUGUCUUCCUAUUACUCCUUAUAUUUGUAUGCUCUGUCAUCCUGCUGAAAACUAUUCUGUGCAAAGUACCAGUGACAUACCAAUGACACAAUCAAAUGGUCUUUUAAUCAUUCUUGACUUUUUGCAAAAUUUAACAAGGGCUAUGCUUUCUUCCCUUUAAAUUCUUCCACUGGUUUCUAAUCUGAUUCUGUUUCUCUCCUCAGCCCAUUUCUCUGUUCUUUACUGUUGUGCUUUUUAAUUCUGUCAAAUGUGAACAUAUCAGGGCUGGGGAUGUAACUCAGUGGUAAAGUAUUUGCCUAGCAUUUGUGAGGCUCUGUGUUCCAUUCCCAGUACUGGGGGAAGGGGUAUUGAACAUAUCACAGGCUGACUUUUCAUCCUAUAUUUUUUUCCUCAACUGCCUUCUACUGAGUUUCAGCUGUCCCCUGUGCAGAUAACUAUAAUUUGCUUCUUACAUUCCAAAACUCACUUGUCUUUAUUUCUGCCUAGAUGUAAUAAACUUUAAAAACAAGAAUAAAUUUCAUGACCUGACUUUUCAAUUUUUUACAGUUGCAUUGCUUUGAAACACAAAGUCAAAAGAAAUUGAGGAAUACUUUAUUACAUGUGUUUUCAAAACCUUUUUAUACUCUCUUUAUAGGUUAUAUGUAAAGUCAGAUGUGCCACUGAACUUGACAAACACAAGUAAGUUCCACAAGUAUCCAAAUCUCUAUCUAAAAGAUCUAAAGAAUUAAUAUUAAUGUUUGGUAUCUAAAACAUCUAAGUAUUUUUAACAGUAGACUGCUCAAG
This 1084-nucleotide long non-coding RNA is filed under the name Marmota monax (woodchuck). Lineage: Eukaryota; Metazoa; Chordata; Mammalia; Rodentia; Sciuridae. The record is from RNAcentral.